UACGGAGGGUGCAAGCGUUAUCCGGAUUCACUGGGUUUAAAGGGUGCGUAGGUGGGCAAGUAAGUCAGUGGUGAAAUCUCCGGGCUUAACCCGGAAACUGCCAUUGAUACUAUUUGUCUUGAAUACUGUGGAGGUCAGCGGAAUAUGUCAUGUAGCGGUGAAAUGCUUAGAUAUGACAUAGAACACCAAUUGCGAAGGCAGCUGGCUACACAAAUAUUGACACUGAGGCACGACAGCGUGGGGAGCAAACAGG
This 253-nucleotide ribosomal RNA is filed under the name uncultured bacterium. Its description in RNAcentral is "partial 16S ribosomal RNA". It matches the Rfam family "Bacterial small subunit ribosomal RNA", at positions 524 to 776 of the family's 1533-position model. The record is from RNAcentral.